GCGGGCAUAGCUCAGUUGGUAGAGCGCGAGCUUCCCAAGCUUGAGGUCGCGAGUUCGAACCUCGUUGCCCGCUCCA
RNAcentral lists this transfer RNA (76 nucleotides) under Desulfofustis sp. Its description in RNAcentral is "tRNA-Gly". It matches the Rfam family "tRNA". Rfam says of the family: Transfer RNA (tRNA) molecules are approximately 80 nucleotides in length. Their secondary structure includes four short double-helical elements and three loops (D, anti-codon, and T loops). Further hydrogen bonds mediate the characteristic L-shaped molecular structure. tRNAs have two regions of fundamental functional importance: the anti-codon, which is responsible for specific mRNA codon recognition, and the 3' end, to which the tRNAs corresponding amino acid is attached (by aminoacyl-tRNA synthetases). tRNAs cope with the degeneracy of the genetic code in two manners: having more than one tRNA (with a specific anti-codon) for a particular amino acid; and 'wobble' base-pairing, i.e. permitting non-standard base-pairing at the 3rd anti-codon position. RNAcentral also lists the same sequence under 3 other names. Lineage: Bacteria; Pseudomonadati; Thermodesulfobacteriota; Desulfobulbia; Desulfobulbales; Desulfocapsaceae. The record is from RNAcentral.